Pongo pygmaeus (Bornean orangutan) is the source of this 27305-nucleotide RNA transcript. It is a transcript of the gene named ankyrin repeat domain-containing protein 62, with no coding region annotated. The record is from RefSeq and is a predicted model, not a curated record. The transcript is spliced from 31 exons. Lineage: Eukaryota; Metazoa; Chordata; Mammalia; Primates; Hominidae.
UUCAUGUUUGAAGGAUGUUUUCGCCAGAUACAUUAUUCUAGGGUUAAAGGUUUUUUCCUUCAGAACUUUCAAUAUGUCAGCUGGGCAUGGUGGCUCAUGCCUGUAAUCCCAGCACUUCGGGAGGCUGAGGCAGGUGGAUCAUGAGGUCAGGAGUUCGAGACCAGCCUGACCAACAUGGUGAAACCCUGUCUCUACUAAAAAUAAAAAAAUUAGCUGGGCAUGGUGGCGAGCGCCUGUAGUCCCAACUACUCGGGAGUUUGAGGCAGGAGAAUCACUUGAACCCAGGAGGUGGAGGUUGCAGUGAGUCGAGACCGUGCCACUGCACUCCAGCCUGGGCGACAGAGUGAGACUCUCUUUCAAAAAAAAAAAGGAAAGAAACAUUAAGUUUAUAAAGUCAAAAAGGAACAGUAAGCUAAGGUGAAUUUAUUAUUGAAGAAAGAAAAAUAAAAAUAUACUUAGUGCAGCCUAAGUGUACAGUGUUUAAUAAAGACUACAGUAGUGCACAGUAACGUCCUAGCUUUCACAUUCAGCCACCACUCAUUCACUGACUUCGAAGAAAUUGAAUAGCAGGAAGCAAUUCAAAACUAAUUUUGAGGUCAGCAUUACCCUGAUACUGAAGCCAAAGACACCACAAGAAAAGGACACUACAGGUCAAUAUCCCUGAAGAACAUAGAGGCAAAAGUCCUCAACAAAAUGCUACAAAACCAAAUGUAACAAACAUAUUAAAAAUAUUACAUCGUAACCAAGUGGGAAUGCUGAGAUGCAAGAAUGAUUCAACAUGUAGAAAUGAAUACAUGUUAUACAUAACAUUAAAGGAAUAGAGAAUAGAAAGGACAUGAUCAUCUCAACAGAUGCAGAAAAUCAUUUGGUAAAAUUCAACAUCCUUUCAAGACAAAAACUCUGAAAAACUAGGACUAGAAGAAAAUUACCUCAGCCGGGCGCAGUGGCUCACACCUGUAAUCCCAGCACUUUGGGAGGCCGAGGCGGGCAGAUCACGAGGGCAGGAGAUUGAGAGCAUCCUGGCUAACACGGUGAAACCCCAUCUCUACUAAAAAUACAAAAAAAUUAGCCAGGCGUGGUGGCACAUGCCUGUAGUCCCAGCUACUCGGGAGGCUGAGGCAGGAGAAUGGCGGGAACCCAGAAGGCGGAGCUUGCAGUGAGCAGAGAUCGCACCACUGCACUCCAGCCUAGGCAACAGAGCGAGACUCAGUCUCAAAAGAAAAAGAAAAAAAAGAAGAAAAUUACCUCAACAUAUUGAGGACCAUAUAUGAAAAGUUUGCAUAUCAUAUAGUCAGUGGUAUAAAGUAAAAUUUUUCCUCUAAGAUUAGAAACAAGGCAAGGAUGCCAGUCUCAACUUUCAUUCUACAUAGCACAUAACACUUUUAUUCAACAUAGUUUUAGCCAAAGCAAUUAGGCAAGAGAAAGAAGGGCAGAUGAUUCCUGUGCCCCUCCCAGGUACUACCUCCAUGAGUAACCUCUAAACUGACUUUUAACAGCAUAGAUCACCUGUACUUUCAGCUGUUUUGUACCUUAUUUACAUGAAAUAAGAAAGCAUGAAUGUUUGUAUAUAUAUGUUAAACUGUGUAUGUUGUUUGAAACAUCUGUAUUUCUGCAUAAUUUUUUGGAUCAUUGAUUAGCAUUGGUGAUAGAAUUCCAUCAUGUGACUAUCAAACUAUCAAACAAUUCAAAUAUUCCAUGGCAAAAGUCCACCUGAGUGGUUUUCCUUCUGGAAAUAUUAGGAAUAGUGAUGAUGGGUAAAAACGUGUAAAAUAUAGAAUGUGUUUUGAUGAUGUAAGAAGGAUUUUCCUCGGGGUGUUACAUUUAGUAAUCAAAUUGAUGGGUCAUGUGUUUACAUUUGUUAAGCUUUAGGAGAUACUGCCACACAUUCUUUCCUAUCUUGUUUCUAGUCUUUUUCUAAAUUCGUAUUUUGAAACAACCUUUAAAUAAUCUUCUGAUUAGAGGCAUUUUGAGUCCUCCAGUAUCCCAGCAGGCAGUGCAGCCUAGAGAUGCUGACAAAGGAGCUGAGGAGCAGUCUCAGCUGCUUUCCAAGGAAGCCGGUGUUGCCAAGAUUGCCAAAAUGCUUUGGAGUUUUUAACUGAAUCUAAGAAAAGUGCAAAAUAGAUUUGAGACUAUAAAAACAGAAACUGCAGCAAGGGGGGGGGGGGAUUCAGUGCCAAUGCAUCAACAAAAAAGACAAGCAGAGUUAGUGGAAGGAAAUCUUCCUAUUUUCGUGUUACCCUCGGAGUUUGUAUUUUAUGCAGAUGAUCAGUCAACACAUAAGCAGGUGUUGACACUGUAUAAUCCCUAUGAGUUUGCCUUAAAGUUCAAAGUGUGAUUCAUUGUAGAGAUUUUCAAUCCUGUCACUAUGGUGUAAUAGACAAAUUCCAUCUCUAAAUUGCCAAGCAAAGCCAAAGGAAGGCUUUGGGAAGAAAAGAGGUUGUUGCUACUCUUCUCCCAUCUGCAAAAGAACAACAAAAGGAAGAAGAGGAAAAAAGAAUAAAGGAACAUUUAACUGAAAGUUUAUUGUUUGAGCAGUCGUUUCAACCAGGUAGUUUUGGUUUGUUUUUAAAGCCCUCUUGAGGUCUUACACAUUAUUAACUUUAAAAUAAUCAGGCAGCUAAGAAUAAUUACUAGAAAAAUCAUCUACCACUUCAAACAUAGUCAACUACUUCAAAACUGAACCUAGAUAAUCAGGUACCUGAAGUAGAACAAGAAGCCUGGAGCUGGACUUUGAGAGGAGGGAAAACCCCUCACUGGACUAGGCUGUAGGGAGAGGGUAGAUAUUGCUGUAGCCUUUUAAAUAUAUCUAUAUUUAAACAUAAGUAUAUCUGAGACUGCAGGCACCAUACUUUAUGAAGCUAGUACAGUUUGGCAGUUCUAUUCUUUUGUUUCCAUGACUUUCCUAUAUCCUUUCUCAUUUAAUUAGUUCCAAGGAAGAGAGAGAUUGUGUUUGGCAAUAGGCCACGCAUAGGGCACAGUUCAUAUAAUUAAACAAGUAGAUUAUAAUAUCCCCUGUGGGCUAUUAAUUGAAUCCCACUCCAGUCCUCAUUUCCUUCCAGCUUAGAUAUUCAGAAGUGUUAUGAUAUAUUCUUUCAACAUUGACAACUAGCCUCAUAUUCACCUCUUUGCACGUCAUUACCCCUUCCUUUUAACUUCUCAUUAUCUCCUCCUAAACUUGUUGUAAUAGGAGGGAGAUAAAAAUUUUCUGUAGAGAAACAGGGCAACUGAAAACUUUUUGAUGGUGAUAACUGAUACAUGAAUAUGAUAGCAGCUGUCCUUGAAAUUGCAACAUUUUAUGAAGGAUUAAAAAAAAUCUACUUGCUGUUACAUUCGGUCAUAUCACUGUUCAUCUUAAGAGUGUUUAUUUCAAUAACAGGGAGUAGUACCUUUUUGAUUUACUGUAGCCAAGAGUCUCUUCCUGUCCAUUAGGGACCAUCUAGUUUUUUUGGUGAUAACAGGACGAGGGGCUAGGUAGUAGCUAUUAGUUUGGUGCAAAAGCAGUUGCGGUUUUUGACAUUACUUUUAAUUGCAAAAACUGCAAUUACUUUUGCACCAACCUAUAGUGGAUUGUUUUAUUCUCAGCAACUAUUAUCAACUGACAGGACGAGCUUUUCAUCUUUUGAAGCUGAAAGAGAACCUUUGUCCAGUGUCACUUUGUCAGAUCAAUAUUGUAAAGUUGAUGUAGUUAUGAAAUGCCAAGAUUCCCUUUUUAAAAUGCUUCUUCUAGCACAAGAAAGGCCAUUUAAUUUGUGUUUGUUUUUGAAGUUACACUUGUAAUUUAAAAUGGUCUUUGAAGUUCAGUUUUGUAUUUAACACAUUGGUUUAAUAACCAGGAAUAAUAAGGGGUAAGAUUUAGGAGUAUAUGUGUAUGUAAAUAUAUGUAAAGAGAACUUUAUUCCUUUUAUUUUAAAAUUUAUGAAAAUUCAGGUGAAGAUCAUACUAAAAGGCUAAAUAAUUAUAGUAUAUAUUGUCUUAUUUUGUUUUAUUUUUUAUUUUCUUAGAAAGGGUUUUUCUCUGUCGCCCAGGCUAGAGUGCAGUGGUGCCAUCAUAGUUCACUGCAGCCUCCAACUCUUGGAUUCCAGUAAUCCUCCUGCCUCAGCCUCCCAAGUAGCUGGGACUACAAGUGCUUCUCACCACACCCAGGGUCUCACUAUGUUGCCCAGGCUGGUCUUGAACUCCUAGCCUCAAGCAAUUCUCCUGUCUCAGCUGCCUAAAGUACUGGGAUUACAGGCCUUAUUUUAUUUUUCUAACAAACCUUGGUAUCUAACGUAUGUUAGAGAAUUUUUCUAAUUGUAAAAAUGGAGUAGGCAGAUGAAUGAUGAUAGGUGAUGCUGGCAUAACACAUGGUGAUCUCUGUUUUGGGGGAAAAAAAUCUCUAAUCCAUUCCUGCAAAUAAGUUCAAUGAAGGCAGGCACUUUUCCUAGUACUGUUAUAUCCUCAGCACCUAGCACAGGGUCCCGGCACAGAGAAGUUAUGUAAUGAACUUGUAAAUGGGCUGAGCUAGGAAGGCUGGACUUCAGGUCUGGUAAGGGUCUGUGGGAACGGUGAGGUUUUUUGUUUCGUUUUGUUUUGUUUUGGCUUAUAAGGUUUUCAUGGUUAUGACAGCUCUUUAGAGGAAGGGUGCCACAGUAGAGCCCCAUUCACAGUCCUGGCCAACAUGUCCCAUUUAUGGGUAGUUACCCCAGUGUGCCUAAUAACCUGGAAGUAAGUUGAGUAAAGUUUUCUUUAAUAGAGUAUCAUGAUGACUAGUCUCCUGUCUAUUAAAUUUACAGGAAUUUAUGUGUAGUUUCCAACGUGUGGAAAACUCAGGUUUUUCAUUGUUUCUCUGAACUAAAAUACUGAAAUAAAUUGAGAUUGUUUUGAGGAGGCUUUGAAAUGUCACUACUUUUACAAGUCCUUAGCUUAGAGAACAUUUCAACAAAUGCAUAUUGUUAAAGUAUUAGAGGUGCAGCAGUGUUGUGAGGCUCACUUUUAAGCAGGAAAAUGGUUGAUGGCUACAUUAUGAAAAAUUUGGAUUUUGAAAUAUAUUGAAAGUCAGUAUAAAUGAGAAAGAAUUUAAGUUUAUUGUGUAAAACACAUAUAGUAAUAACAUAAGAAAAUGUACCUGUAAUCUCACACUUAACAAACCUGCUUGUAUAAGUGUUCCAUGUUACUUUCCAGACCUUGCCUAUGUGCAUAAGUACAAUUUUAUAUUUUGUGAGUUUUUUUUUUCCAUUCAACAGAAAUUUAACCUAAGGGAAGCCUACAAGGUAUACUUUCAUAAAAUACUAGCGCUCAGGCUAUUAAAAAGCUAUUUUAAAACAUAUAUCUCUGAAUCUUAGUGGGUUUGUCUUAAUUACAUUAUAAAUGAACUGCUAUGUCUAUGCUUAAAUAUUUGAGUCAGUGCCCUCUGGCUUAAGAAAAUUAUGGUCUUAAUUAUUGUUUAUAAUAAUAAAAAAUGGAAAAUAACCGAAAAGUCCAUCAAUUGGGAAUUGAUUAAAUUAUAAAUAUUCAUAAGAUAGUGUGCCAGGCAGACAUUUAUAAGGAUCUGAUAGAAUGAUGACUGCUUAUACAUUGUCAGAGAAAGAGCUUCAAAUACAUUUCUAAGUAAGGGAAAAAGAAGCAGUUAUAUAACUAUGUAUAUAAUAUGGCCUUAUUUAUGUAAAAGAUUCUUCUACAUGUUUAUAUGGACAUUUGUAAAAUCUAAAAGGAUACAUACCAAGAUGUUAACGGUAUUAGAUCCAGGAGGGUGGAAUUAUGGAGGAACAUUUACAUUUUCUAUAUCUUUAUAACAUAUUUUACAACAAUCCUGUAGUACUAGAGAGAAAAAACUUUUUCCAUUUUGAAAAAUUUCAAGCGUUUAUGCAAAUGCUUUUGGAAUACUAAAAAUUCCAAAUUUCUCUAAAUACUAAAUAUUCUCUAAAUACUAAAAAUUCUUUGAAAUUAUCAUUAUUGUGGGUUUGCAGUGAACGGUAUACUUGUCAUAAAUAACUGUUUUGCUUGAGAGUUCAUCCUUGCGGCAAAGAUAACUACAAAGGUACUCUAUUACCAGAAAAAAAAAAAACUUCUGGUUAGAGAAAGGUUUUCUCUUGAUAAAGGACACAAGGACACAUUUGUGUGCUUUCUUUAUUUUGUCUCAUUAAAACACAUCAUAUAUAUUUAUAUAAACAAAAUAUAUUAAAAAUUACAUAUUUGGCACAUUUUAUAUACAGAAUUAUAUGUUAAAAUUUUAAGUUGUUACUAAUGUUAAAGUUUUACUGAAAACAUAGGAAGUAAGAAAUACUUGUCGCAUAUCAGCAUUUUAUACAUAAAAUGGACCGGCUGAAGUGCGCAUGUGCCCUGGUGCCUAACGGUUCGGGUCGGGGGUGCCGCCAGCAGGUGGAGCCCGCGGGAGUCUCCGCGGAUGGCCUCGUGGGCCGGCUGAGGUGUGCAUGCGCCCUGGUUCCUAACGGUUCGGGUUGGGGGUUCCGCCAGCAGGUGGCGCUCUUCUCCGCGGAUGGCCUCGUGGGCCGGCUGAGGUGCGCAUGCGCGCUGUUGCCUAAAGGCUCUGCUGGGCUAGGUGCUCCUCCGGGCGGCUGGAGACUGGAGUGUCUCUGACGGAGGUUGCGGCUGGACCUGGUUACGUGCUGGUGCUGUGCUCCAGAGCGGCAGAAAGCGAGUGGGAGCUGAGGUGUCUUGAAGCCGGUUCCUCAGCCUGGGAGAAGAUCUGUGGCUUCAGGAUGGGGGUCAGGGGGUCGUUCCUGGCGGCCUGCAGGAGACGCAUGGCUACCUGGAGGAAGAAUCGUGACAAGGAUGGCUUCUCAAAUUCCGGGUACCGAGUCCGGCAGAAGGAUCUGGGCAUGAUCCACAAAGCUGCCAUCGCCGGUGAUGUGAACAAGCUGCUGGAGAGCAUCUUGCUCGGGCUGAAUGACGUGAAUGACAGGGACAAGAAGAACAGGACUGCUCUACAUUUGGCGUGUGCCCAUGGCCGUCCGGGAGUGGUAGCUGACUUGGUGGCCAGAAAAUGCCGGCUUAACCUCACUGACAGUGAAAACAGGACAGCUCUGAUCAAGGCUGUACAAUGUCAAGAAGCAGUUUGUGCAUCCAUCCUGCUGGAACAUGGCGCCGACCCAAAUGUUAGAGAUAUGUAUGGCAACACGGCUCUGCACUAUGCCAUUGAUAAUGAGAAUAUAUCAAUGGCAGGAAAACUGCUUGCAUAUGGUGCAGAUAUUGAAGCAAGAAGCCAGGGUGGACAUACAUCACUUUUACUCGCUGUAAAUAGGAAAAAAGAGGAAAUGGUGGCAUUUUUGUUGAAGAAAAAACCAGAUUUAACUGCAAUAGAUAAUUUUGGAAGAACAGCCCUCAUACUUGCUGCUCGUAACGGAUCAACAAGUGUAGUCUACCAGCUUCUUCAGCACAAUAUUGACGUCUUUUGCCAAGAUAUAUCUGGAUGGACUGCAGAAGACUACGCUGCUGCUUCUAAGUUUCAAGCCAUUCGUGGACUAAUUUCUGAAUAUAAAGCAAACAAGAGACGUAAAAGUCUUCAAAAUAGUGAUCCAGAACAAGACUUAGAAAUGACAUCAGAGGGAGAGCAAGAAAGGCUUGAAGGAUGUGAAAGUAGCCAGCCCCAGGUUGAAGAAAAAAUGAAGAAAUGCAGAAAUAAGAAAAUGGAAGUGUCAAGAAACGUACAUGCUGAUGACAGUGACAGUUAUAAUGAUGAUGUUGAUGAAUUAAUUCACAAAAUAAAGAACAGAAAACCUGAUAGUCAUCAAUUUCCCAGGAAGGAGAAUGACAAGUUUGAUAGGCUUGCAAGGAAAACCUCUAAUGAAAAGAGCAAGGUUAAAAGCCAAAUAUAUUUCAGGGAUGAUCUUAAUGACAUAACUGGGUCAUCUGAAAAAACCUCAGAGGAUGAUGAGUUGCCUUACUCUGAUGAUAAGAAUUUUAUGUUACUCAUUGAACAAAGUGAAAAGGAGUGUAAAGAUUUUGUUAGCCUAUUGAAAAUCAAGAAUGCAACAGCUGCAUGUGAAGGAUCAAUAGAGGAUAAAAAAGGUUACUGUGAACAACUUAAAGUAAAAUUUCAAAAAAUGAAAAAUAAUAUUAGCAUACUACAAAAGGUACUAUCUGAAACAAACAAAACCAAAUCACAGUUAGAGCAUCAGAAUCUUGAAAGGAAAAAAAAGCUCUGUAAUUUGAGAUUCAUCUUACAACAACAAGAAGAAGAAAGAAUAAAGGCUGAAGAGUUGUAUGAAAAGGAUACAGAAGAGUUAAAAAUAAUGGAAGAGCAGUAUAGGACACAAACUGAAGUGAAAAAACAACUUAAACUGACUCUCAAAUCAUUGGAAGUGGCAUUGAAGACUGUAAGAAGUAACUCAAAUCAGAAUUCUCAUACUCAUGAAAAAGAAAGAGACCCAUGGCAGGAAAAUCACUUGAUGCGGGAUGAAAUUGCCAGACUCAGGCUGGAAAUAGACACAAUAAAACAUCAGAACCAGGAAACUGAAAAUAAAUAUUUCAAAGAUAUUGAAAUUAUAAAGGAAAACAAUGAAGACCUUGAAAAGACUCUAAAGUUGAAUGAGGAAACAUUAACAAAAACGAUAACCCGGUAUAGUAAAGAGCUUAAUGUUCUGAUGGAUGAGAAUACAAUGCUCAAUUUUGAGCUAGAGAAGGAAAAACAAAGCACGCCAAGACUGGAAACAGAAAUGGAAUCAUACCGUUGUAGACUGGCUGCAGCCCUAUGUGAUCAUGAUCAAUGCCAGUCAUCAAAAAGAGACCUACAGCUUGGUUUCCAGAGCACAGUGAAUGAAUGGUGUCAUUUACAAGAAAAUACUAAUUCUCACAUUCAGAUUCUUUCUCAGCAACUUUCCGAAGCUGAGAGUACAUCCAGUGGCCUAGAAACUGAGCUCCGUUAUGAAAGAGAGGCUCUCAAAGAAAAGACGUUGGAUAUAGAACACAUGCAAGGAGUCCUAAGCCGAACACAGUGUCGAUUGAAGGACAUUGAACACAUGUACCAAAAUGACCAACCUAUUUUGGAAAAAUACGUGAGAAAGCAGCAAUCUGUAGAGGAUGGUCUAUUUCAACUACAAAGCCAAAAUCUGUUGUAUCAACAGCAAUGUAAUGAUGCUCACAAGAAAGCUGACAAUCAGGAAAAAACAAUAAUUAAUAUCCAAGUCAAAUGUGAAGAUACUAUAGAAAAACUUCAAGCUGAGUGUAGAAAGCUAGAAGAGAACAAUAAGGUGUUGAUGAAGGAAUGCACUCUUUUAAAAGAAAGACAAUGCCAAUAUGAAAAAGAGAAAGAAGAAAGAGAAGUAGUCGUGAGACAGCUUCAACGAGAAGUGGAUGAUGCCCUGAACAAACAAUUGCUGUCAGAAGCUAUGCUAGAGAUUUCAUCACAAAGUCGUGUUAAUUUAGAAGAUGAGAUGCGAAGUUCAAAGAGGAAAUUAGGCCAGAUCAGAAGUCAAUUGCAAGAAAUGCGGGAUCAACACACAGAGACUCUAAGAUGUGCUGAGGAGAUGCCAGACCACAUGCAAAAGCUUAAAAUAGGAAAUGCCAUGUUAAAAAUUAGAAUGAAAAACCGAGUGGACAAAAUUGAGCAGCUUCAGAAAAUUUUGAUGCAGCAGGUAUACAAGGAAACAUAACUGCAGAAGUAGAUGAAGAGUUACUGAGCAUUUCUGUGUCAUCUACAUGCCAUGAAAGUCUUAAAGUCAAUUGUCAAUUUCUACAAAAUACCUGCUUGGAUUUGGACUGUGAUUGCGUUAUGUCAUGAGAAAGAAUGAACAUCUUAACAAUGAUGAGUCUCUCAACUCGUGAAUAAGGCUUUGGUAUCAGGAUGAUGCUGGCCUCAUUGGAAUAGUUUCAGAAAGAAUGGUACCAGCUCCUCCUUGUACCUCUGAUAGAAUUCGGCUGUGAAUCCAUCUGGUCCUGGACUUUUUUUGGUUGACACUACCCAAAGCAGUCCUUCACUACAGUGGCAGAUACACCUGCAAAUCUUCGCCUAAAACAGUGACCUGAGGACCAAGCUAACUGCUGCUGCCUGGAACACUGUCCUUACCUUAGAAAUGUCGAGCAGAUUGUAGGAUACCCAAACAACCUUUUCAAGCAGAAAGCAAAUAGAUUAAGAAAGUAGCCAGAUGAGUUAGCGAACCCAGCGGUGACUUUUGUGUCUUUUUUUCCCUGUUCCCUUUUCUUUUCAUGGUAGAAAAGGCUGGACAGGGAUGUGUUGCAAAAGCAGUGAUCUAGCUUAUCUUGCCACCAACCCAGGAUGGCCCAGGAUGUGGGUUCUCCUUGAAUGAAUCUUUGGCAGUCUGCCAGCCUGACAUGGUCUGCCUCCUCCUUUGGUCUGAGCUUGCCCACUGCUUAGAAAGGGCCAUUGGCAGUUCUGGCAGGGAGUUUUCCCAACAUUGAGAAGGUGACAUUUUUACUCCCCGUUGCAGUCUGCACCUCUGACCUGUGGUCAGCAGACAGGACAGAGGCACUCAGUAGACAGAGCUCAGAGGACAGCACUCAGUCCCGGCGGAAGGUUCAACGUCCAGCUUUGCACCCACCCCACGUGGCCACAAGCAGGCUCCAUGACCUUGUGGUCAGUUUCCUCACCCUGUUCAGGAGGAAUUGUACUACCAUCCUGUUAGGAAAUUUGUGAGGAUCACCACGUUACUCAUGUAAGAUCUUUGGAGAGUGUCAUGUUACUGUUUAUUAAUUGCUUGUUGGUGGCCUGGCUGAGCCACAUCCUUUAUGAAAACCAGAACCCCUCAGCAGGUGUGGGUGUCUGUGCAGCCUGAGACCCUUGUGUGAACAGCAUUCUGGCAGCUGUUUUUUCCCCUUGCUACAAUCAGUGCCUCCCUGUCCCCAGGCAUUGCUUUCUCUGCUGGGUGCUCCACUGUUUUCCUACACCUCAGUUGUCUACAGGUGUAUGUCUGUUAUGGAAUCUAGCUGAGGUGGCAUCGAUAGCAGUUCUCCUGCCCUUCUUCUUAGGUUGUUUUUUGAGAGCAAGAGAGGUCCCUUCACAUACCCCAAGAACUUACGUGCAUUUGCCCACAUAGUCUCCAUUUAGAAAAUGGGAAAAGUCACGUCUGCCUACCUGCCAAGGGGGUAAGAGGUAAGUUUCUUGUUGAAAUCUGAGCAGAAAAAUAUGACCAAUUCUAUACCCACUGAAGACAUGUAUGAGAAAUUAAAACAGUUCUUUUUUUUUUAUACUUUAAGUUUUAGUGUACAUGUGCACAACGUGCAGGUUUGUUACAUAUACAUAUACAUAUACAUAUACAUAUACAUAUACAUAUACAUGUGCCAUGUUGGUAUGCUGCACCCAUUAACUCGUCAUUUAACAUUAGGUAUAUCUCCUAAUGCUAUCCCUCCCCCCUCCCCCCAUCUCACAACAGGCCCCAGUGUGUGAUGUUCCCCUUCCUGUGUCCUUGUGUUCUUAUUGUUCAAUUCCCACCUAUGAGUGAGAACAUGCGGUGUAAAACAAUUCUUUAUGGACUGUACCUCAUAUAAAUUCCUAGAAUUAAGUUCUAAAAAAAAAUUCAAGGAGGACAUAAUAAUUUUCUAUAAAUUAGAAAAUUCUAUACUGUGCAAUUAAAUAAAAUGGCAGCAUAGCUUUGAAACUAAAAUCAGAUAAGGUAAAUUGAAGUAUGUGAUGAAUAAAAAUACCAUAAAUUCUGACAAAUAUGAUUUCAAAAUAUGAUGUGGUAGAUUAACAUUGAAAAUGCAAUAAAUAAAAUUAGCCACCAUAAGAGGUUAAUAGAGAAAAAAUAUGAUUAUUGCAAUAGAUACAAGAAACUCAUGGAAUAACAUUCACCAUAUAUUUACAGGACAACUACCUUAUAAACUUUAAAUGACUUAUCGCAACCAUCUGAAUUAAUGUUGCUUAAACAGCAUGUAUCUUGGCUGGUUAAAAACCAGAUAAGAAUUUCCAUAACAUAAAUUUAUUUAUAACACCAUAUUGGGUGUGAACCUAUCAUAAAGUUCACCCAACUAUAAAGGUAUACAAUUGAUGAUUUAUUAAAUUGACACUGUGUGUAGCCAUCACCAUGAUCUAACUUAAAAAUGUUUCUCUCACUGAAGUUCUCUCUUGCCCAUGUCAAUCCCUACUCCCAUCUCCAGCCCUAAGCAAUACUGCUCUGAUAUUCUGUCUGUAUAAAUUUCCCAUCUGUGUAAUAGAAAUGGAAUCAUACAGUAUAUUAUAUUGGGGUCUGACUUUAAUCAUUUAGAUACUAUUUUUGAAGUUAAUUGAUGCUUUAGCAUGUGCCGGUCAUGUGUUUUCCUUUUCAUUGCUUCAUAGUCCAUUGUGUGGAUAUAUAAACAGUGUUUAUUCAUUCAUCAGUUGAUGGACAUUUAAUUAUUUCUGUUUUUUGUAUUAUGAAUAAUGCUGCUUUGAGCAUUCAUAAUACAAUCAUGUAAUGUAUAAUAACAUUUUGGUCAAUGAUGGAUAGCAUGUAUGAUGGCAGUCCCAUAAAAUUAUGAUAGAGUUUAAAAAUUCCUAUCACCUAGUGUCUUGUAGCUGUCACAAGUGUGUAGUGUAACACAUUACACAGGCAUCAGUGAUGAUGCCGAUGGAAAGGAAUCUACUGGUUUUCCAGUUAUGUUAAAGUACUGUAUAGAACAUACAACUAUGUGCAGUAUAUAAUACUUGGUAGUGAAAAUAAAUGACUGUGUUCCUGGUUUAUGUAUUUACUGUGCUAUACUUUCUAUAAUUAUUUGAGAAUAUAUUCUAUCUGCAUAUUAAAACAAACCACUUACCUGUAAAACAGCCUCAAGUAGGCCUUUGAGGAUGUAUGCUAGAAGGUGUUGUUAUCAUAAGAGAUGACAGCACCAUGUGUGUUUCUGCCCCUUCCAGUGGGACAAGAUGUGGAGUCGGAAGGCAGUGACAUUGAUGAUCCUAAUCCUGUGUAGGUCUAGGCUGAUGUGUGUGUCUGAGCCUCAGCUGUUAACAAAAAAAGUUUAAAAUUUAAAACUUAAAUUUUAAAAUAGAAAAAAUAUAGAAUAAUAUUUUAAAAAUUUGCACAGCUGUACAAUAUGUUUAUGUUUUAAGGUAAGUGGUAUUACAAAAUAGUUGUUUUUAAAAUUGUUAAAGUUUAUACAUUUUAAAUGUUACGGUAGGCUAAGGUUAAUUGUUGAAUAAAUAAAAAUAUAUUUCUAUAAAUUUAGGGUAGUCUAAAGAUAUGAUGUUCAUAAAGUCUAUAGUAGUGUACAGUAAGGUCCUAGGCCUUCACAUUCACUCACCAUUCACUCACUGAAUUACCCAGAGCAACAUCCAGUCCUAUAAGCUCUGUUCAUGGUAAAGUGCCCUAUACAGAUGUACUAAUUUUUAUAUUUUAUACCAUAUUUUAUUGUAGCUUUUCUGUAUUUAGAUUUUAGAUAUAUAAAUGCUUACCGUUUUGUUACCUUUGCCUGCAGUAUUCAGUACAGUUACAUGUUGUACAGUUUGAAGCCCAGAGCAGUUGGCUGUAUCAUACAGCCUAGGUGUAUAGGGGGCUAUGCCAUCCAGGUUUAUGUAAGUGCACUCUAUGAUGUCUGCAUAAUUACUACAUCACUUAAUGAUGCAUUUCUCAGAGCACAUCACUGUCAUUAAGAGACACAUGUCUGUACAAAUGACUUUGGACAAUAUGCUUUCAGUUCACUUGGAGCAUUCCUGGGUGUGGAUUUGCUGGACCAAAUGGUAAGUUCAAAUUUAAUUUUUUUUAAGAAACAAGAAAGCUGUCUUCUAAAUGAGCUGUGCCAGUGUACAUUCCUACCGUGCUGCAUAGUACCAAUUUCAUAGUACACUGUAUGGUAAGCCCCAGCAUGUAAGAAACGAAUAAAGUAACACAUAUGAAGAUUAGUAUAAAGCAAAUGAGAUUAUUAUUGUUGUUGUCUUUGUCAGAUUCUCAAAAUAAUUAAGAAUAUAUUUUUAUAUAAAUGUGCUUGGCAACAUAGCUGAAAACAGCAUUAGUAGUUAUAUACUUUUAUCAGUAACAAAGACAUAACAUUUUCAGGGAGAAAAACACUUGUAAUAACAAUGUCAGAAUUAACAUACAAAUUCUGCAAGACAUUUUUGGCAGUUUAAUUGGGGCAGUGUUUUGUAGACAAAUGAACAACUUAAGUAAGGGGACUCAACAAAACUUGAGUUGCAAAAGUUAUCUGGGUUUAGAGUGUAAAACUUCGUCGAAGGACACACACCUUGCGUGAAUGAGAUGCCUUGGUGUGUGUGGACAUGUUGGAGGUACAGCAUAAUGGUGGCUUCCUCCAGAAAGGGACAUUUGGGGUAGCACCAAUGGCUCCUGUCUCACAGUGGAUUCAUUCCACCUGGACAACACAGCCUGAUGUGGCAUGGACAUGAAUGGAGGUUAAAUGGACAGUAGCUGAGAGGAUCAGCCCUGACAAGGGCCAAGGCAAAAGACCUGGGAGUCUCUUCAGGUGCAAAGUCUUCAGUUGAAAAAAGGAGGUGGUCACAGGAGAUACUGAGCUGGAUCAAUAAAGUGCAGGAGAGAGAGUUCUUGGCCCUGGGGAGCAAGUAGUAUGGACUCUUAAGUUUUCUCCUCCCUCCAUUAAUUUCUCUUCCAGUGCAGACUUCAGUCUUAGACUUCCCAGCUGCCUUGAGGGAUUGGAUGAGCCUUGGCCAGCUCUUGAAGGAAACAAUAAAAUCACUUUAAUGUGCUGCUUUUCAUUUUGAAGUCAUUACAGUAUCAUUUGCAAAACUCAACAAGAAAAGAUGCCUGUGGAUGGCCGUGUUCUGGGAGUCACUGAGAUGAGGUGCUGCUUGCUUUCACCCAACCUGAUCUGGGGCUCAGACAGCUACAGGCCCGAGUGGCUGGGAGGUUUGGAGGGAACCAGGUUUAGCUGUGAUGAAAGCACCUUGCUGUGGGCUGGGAGGUGGGAGUGCAGGGCAGCCUGGGCUCCCCUGGCCCCUUACUCAGAUCAGCAAGUGCCCAGCGGAGGCCACAUGGCCCCGGCACCAACCAAUGUAGGGUCUGUGGGUCCCAGCAUUUCCACAUCCUGAAAAGUGAGACAUGAACUGUUUCCUAGGCAAGUUCUCUUCCACCGUGUUCUGGAUGAGGUCCGUGAGCUCCUUCCAGUUUCACAAAGAAUGUGCAGAAGGUGGAAAGAGUGCGGGACGCAGGCCCAGCUGCAGCUGCACUCAGGCCCCUCAGUCAUAAAGUCCGGGGGAGGGGCUGGGUAGGUGCUGACAGGAGGGCAGCCCCUGUUCCUCUUCCCUAGCCAGAUUCUCACACGUCCCUGAGGAACUAGAGAGGAACGCCUCCGGGAAGCCCAGCCAGGGCCAACCAGAAGGGCCUUUUGGUGAAGUCUGACAUCCUACAUUAGUUUCUCUGGACCUGGGUGAGAACCGGCCCCCAAGGGAAGGACUGUUUUGCCAGUGCCAACUCUCCAGCUGGGCUGUUGGUUCCCACUGCCUCCCAUCAUGGAUACAGAAAAGCAGCCAGGCUAUUCCUAGUGUAGUAAAUACAGAGCUGGCUGAGGCAGGGCCAGCUGAGGUGCAGACUCCAUGGGGUUUGCUGUCACUCCGCCAGCCAUCUGUCCAGCAGGCCUCAGCUUCACAAACAGGAAAACAGAAGGAGUGCAUCUACUCACUGGGCGUCACACUGCCCCCGCUCACAGCCACCACCUGCAUCGAGGCAACCUGCAGGCGGGAGCUUGGUUCCAGGAGGUGUCUGUAAACUUCGGUCCUGGGGUGGGCCACUGCAGAUGGCCUGUCCUUGCUUUCUCAUCACCAAAUCCCCGUUUUUGGUGCUGAUGCAUCCAGAUGUUAAAAUCGCUGACGUUUUCACAGGACCCACAAAGAGGGAGGGUCCAGGCACAUUUUUUCUUUCUGUAUCACCCUGGAGUGAUGGGGAAAUUUCCCCAAAAACCAUGUGUACUGUGAUUGCACGUAUUGGGGUGGGUAUAUUAGACUAGGGGGCCGCGGAUGGGUGGGGAAAAUCUUUCAUGUGAGGUAUUCCUCUAAGCAAUUCUUGACAACUCUUUUCUCCUCCCUUCUGGAAGCUUCUGGCACGGGAGGUGGAGGCAUGGCAUGUCAGGGGUGCAGGUCAAGACCACAUGUACUUGGCACAGUACACAGAGCUUGGCUGGGCUGUGGGUGGGUGAGCAUUGGCUGGGCUGUGGGUGGGUGAGCAUUGGCUGGGCUGUGGGUGGGUGGGCAUUGGCUGGGCUGUGGGUGGGUGAGCAUAUGCGGGAGGACCCUUGGCUUUGGCCACCGAAUGCCCCUUGCUGGCUAGUCAGCCGGGACCACCCCUGCCUCUCCCACUCACACAUUAGGCAAGCUCUUCACAGAUCCUGCGUGUGUCCUCAGGCACCGUCAUGGAGUAGCCCACGGUUCUGGAGUCUGUGAAGGUCUCAUGGUCGUUGCCACCUGGUAUGAUUUUGUCUCCAAAGAAAUAAAUGGCCUUAUAACUGUCGUUUUUCACAUGUCACAGGCAAUACCUCUUGCCCCAUCCAUCAGGAAAGACAUCAAAGCUGAUCUGGCCUCCUAUGAAAAACGUGAGGCCUUUUCCUGCAAACUCUUUCCUUGAUCUGCUACAACUUUUUCUCUUAUAUUUUCUUUUUUAUUGAAUUCGUAGAACUCAAUGCAUUCUUCUUGGCUGCAGCUUCUUCCAAAUAGGGGACAUGUUUAACAUCCCAUUUCAGAAUUCAAUGAAAGUACCCCUCUUCUUCAGGAGUUUAAUUUUUGCAUUGCAGCUCAGACAAUAGUUGAUUAAAUCUUGGAUUAGGACCUCACCCAGGUGACUUUGAAUAUUCCAUUUACACGAGCAUUUCCCAUCUUGGUAUGCUACCAAGCCAUUUUCUGGAAACACAUAAUCAUAUUUUUCAACCACAUCAUUUCCCAGUUGCUCCUGUGCUUCCUCAAAGUCCAACGUGCCCACCACUCCGAUUUUGAUCUUCUGCCUCAAUUUUUGUAGGAAGUCAUCCAUUUCUUUGGUAAUUUUCUGCUGUGGGGUGGUCAGGGUCCCAUCAACAUCCAAAAGGCAGAGCACUGCGCCGGGUGCUGCCAUGUCCCUGGUUUCCAACUGCACCUUACAAGACUGGUUGGCACCAGCCCAUGGUAAUUUCUAUCCUAUCUUCUGUGUGUAUGCACUUGAUUAUUCUAGGCACUUGAUUUUAGUAGAAUCCUACAGUAUUCCUUUUGUGUCUGGCUUAUUUCAUUAGGCACAAUGUUUUCAGUAUCCAUCCGCAUUGUAUCAUAUAUCAAAAUUGUUUUUUACAGAUGGAUGAUGUACCAUUGCAUGUAUAUACCACUUUGUUUUUAUACAUGCAUUUGUUCACUGAUAGUUGGAUUAUUUCCAUCUUUUGGCCCUUGUGAAUAGUGAUGCUAUCAACAUUAGUGUACAAAUAUCUGUUUGAGUUCUGUUUGCCAUUCUUUUUGGUAUAUACCUACUAUUAGAAUUCCUGGGCCCAAUGGUAGUUCUAUGUUUAACCUUUGGAGCAACUGCAAACUGUUUUUCACAGUGAUUGCAACUUUAUACAUUUCUACCAGCAAUGUAUCACAGUUACAUUUUCUUGUUUUCCUUUAAACACUUAUUUUAAACUAUUUUCCUUUAAAAAAAAAAAUUACCCGGCCAGGCGUGGUGGCUCACACCUGUAAUCCCAGCACUUUGGGAGGCCGAGGCAGGUGGAACACAAGGUCAGGAGAUUGAGACCGUCCUGGCUAACGCAGUGAAACCCCAUCUCUACUAAAAAAUAGAAAAAAAAUUAGCCAGGCAUGGUGGCGGGCGCCUGUAGUCCCAGCUACUUGGGAGGCUGAGGAAGGAGAAUGGCGUGAACCCAGGAGGCGGAGCUUGCAGUAAGCCAAGAUCGUGCCACUGCACUCCAGCCUGGGCGAUAAAGCAAGAUUCCAUCUCAAAACAAAACAAAAAAAAAUUAUCCUAAGGCUAGGCACAGUGGCUCACACCUGUAAUCCCAACAGUUUGGGAGGCUGAGGUGGGUGGAUCACAAGGUCAGGAGUUCAAGACCAGCCUGGCCAAGAUGCUGAAACCCCGUCUCUACUAAAUGUACAAAAAUUAGCUGGGCAUGGUGGCACGCACCUGUAAUCCCAGCUACUUCGGAGGCUGAGGCAGGAGAAUCGCUUAAACCUGGGUGCCAGAGGUUGCAGUGAGCCAAGAUCAAGCCACUGCACUCCAGCCUGGGCAACACAGCAAGACUUCGUCUAAAAAAAAAAGAAAAUUAUCCUAGUACUUGUAUAUUGGCACCUGUUUGUGCUUUUCACUUGCAUUUCCCUAAUGACUAAUGAUGCCGAGCAGCUUUUCCUCUGCUGGGUAUACCUGCUUUAGAGACUUAUAUAUUCAGGUACUUUGCCCAUUUUUAGAGCUGUCUUUUGUCUUUUUUGUUUGUUGUUGUUGUAGAUUUUUAGGAGUUUUAGAAUAUAUUCUAAUUUUUAAUUUCUUACAAGAUGUAUAAUUUGCAAAUAUUUCUCCCUUUGUUUAGAACUUUACAUGUACAAACUUCCUUAAUUUGUAUAAAAUUGAUUUUUUUCUAUUUAUUUAUUAUACUUUAAGUUCUGGGAUAAAAAUUGAUUUUUUUAAGCAUUGCCUUAUUUUUAGUGUCAUAUUCAUUAAAAAGUUGCUAAAUUCACUGCUAUGAAACCUUAUCCCAAUAUUUUCUUCUGAGAGUUUUAUAAUUUUAGCUCUUAUAUUUAGGUCUCUGACACAUUUUGAGUUAAUUUUUUAUAUGGUGUAAAGUAAGCAUUCAGUUUUUUUAUCUGAAUGAGAAUGUGCAGUUUUACCAACAUCAUUUGCUGAAGAGGCUUUCCAUUUUCCAUUGUAUAUUUAUGGCACUUUGUUGAAGAUCACUUGGCUGUAUAUGUAUGUGUUUAAUUCUGGGCUCUCUAUCAAUCCCAAUGGUCCUUAUGGGUGCCCUAAUUCUAGGACCAUACUUUUUGAGUAUAUGUAACUGUAUUGUACAUUUCAGUCUCAUAAAUGUGUGUCUUCCAACACUAUUCUUUUACAAUGUUAUUAUUGAAUAUUUGAGACCCCUGGAAAAUUCAUUCAAAAUUGAGGGUUUUCUUAUCCAUUUUUGCAAACAUGGUUGUCAGCAGUUUGACAGGGAUUGUGGUGCAUAUGUACAUCACUUUGUAUAGUAUUGCACUUGAAUAAUGUUUAGUCUUCCUGUCCAUGAAUACAGGGUGCCUUUCUACUUAUUUAUAUCCUCUUUACUUUAUUUCAGCAAUGUUCUGUUCUUAUUGAGGUAUAAGUACUUUGCUUCCUUGGUUAGCUAUCUUACUAAGUACAUAAUCAUUUUACAUGUGAUUAUAAAUGGAAUUACAUACGCAAUUUUCUUAUUGGACUGCUCAUUGUUGGUGUGUAUUAACAUAGCUGCCAUUUGAGUGUCAACCUUAUACUAUGCAACUUUGAACUUGUUAACACUAAUACAUUCUUAUAGAUUAUUUCAUAUUUUCUAUAUAUAAAAAGGUAGAGAAGUUACUGGCUUCAUAUCUAUUUUCUCAAGAUAUGAAAUGUAUAUUGCUACUGUACAGUUAAAUUCAUACUCCCUACUGAAUGAUGUCCUUCCAAAUGGCCUAGAUUGUUCAAAAAAUAAUUUGUCUUCUUAUUCCACAAUUUGUAGUUUUAGUUCUUUCUUCAUGAUGAUGUCUUUGUUUUUUUCCUUUUAGUAAUAUGUAGUAUUUCUCAUUCUGUUCUGCACACCAAGGCUCCCUGUUAGCUAGUAACUGGAAGAAUAUGGCAAUGUCUAUUUUGUUUUUGCUUUAACAUCAUUAAUGACCUUUUUAAUUACUAAUAUCAGAAAUUUGCUGUGAAUCUGGAGUGGAGGAAAUGUGCAGGGAAGCAUUUCACAAAUGAAGGAAGCCUGACCUUCCUUUUAACUUGGCUUCCUUCUUUUCCCGAGAUGGAAAUGUGUACUGAGCUCAUGACAUGUGAGAGCCUGUCGCUUUAGCUUCUCCUCAUAUCAUGAGUUUUCCCAAAUAUCUAAUGACAAUGUCUGUGUCCGGGUCCAUUUAUCUACCACAACAUGAUUCCUAAACGUAUUUUUGUGUAUUACCCAGAAUUCUCUACUUACAGACAUAUCAAUAAUAUACUUUCACCCAACCCAUUGCCCUCCUCAGAGGUAAGAGAUGCCCAAAAUGGUUCUCCUGUCACUUCAUCCCAAGCACUGCUCCAAGGCUGGGCUGUGCUCAUCUCCGUAGCCGGGCAGUGGGCUCAGGCAGAGCCACUUACAUUUGGGAGGAAUAAGUCAUAUGAGAUAAUAGUAUAUCAUGAGUUUAGAACACCAAGAUGACAUAGAAGAUCAUUCUCAUCUCCAGGUAAACUGGUGUUCAUCCCAUUGGACCAGGUAUCUGGAUUUUUUGUCAGGUUACUGGUUCAUUUUGUAGACAGCACGCACUUUAAAAAAAUUUUUUUUUGGAAGUAGCCACUGCAUGGAAUCAGGAUGUGACCAAAAGCAUUUUUGACACCUAGAGCUAUCUGAUUCCUUCAAAACCAAGUUUGGGCUAAGCUGUAGUGGUUAUUUUUAGACAAAACAGAUCUGUGUUAUGGAAUCAGCCCUGACUUGGAAGCUUAUCUCCUGGGUUUGAAAGCAGCUCUGAAUCUUGCUAAGUUGUGAGACCUCAGGCAAGUCAGUUCACCUCUAAUUGACCUUGCUGACCAUACACAACACACACUUUACUUUUAGUAUCCCAUUCAACCCUCACUACAAACUUCACCUAAGCUGUGGUAGUUUACUGUCCGGACUCCUUAGAUGGAGAAACUGAGGUGCUAAAUGAAUGUGCCCAAACUUGCAGGCUCCUAAGUGAAGGAGACAAGAUGUGAACCUAGACAUGUGGCCCCAAGGCUGAUGCAGUGAGUCGUUGAACUGCAGUUAUCACUCCGAGAAGAGUGGCUCUCAACCCUGCCAUGAGUUGUAACCAUAGGUGGCUCCUUCACUCAUGUGUGUCCUAGAUUUCUGUGAGUCUGCAGACAUCCCAGGCACUGGCUGUGAUUACAGGAUGGCCACAGUAAUCACAUAGCUUAGGGCAAACAUCAGUGAAUGUAACUGUAUCACUGGGCAUAGCCAUUGGUGUGGGCAGUACAGAGAGGGCCCAGAUACUUCUCAUGCCAUGGCCAGGUCACAAGUUCUGGCCACUGGGAAGCAGCACUGAGAGACUUUCAUGAACUUCUUUCAGUGCUGAGGACACUCCUCAGCAGUUGGCCCCAAACGGGUAAGAUUGAAGAAAUAUUUUUGAAACAGUAGAGUGUAUUAUCACCAAAAGACCUAGGAGUGAUCAAAUCCUGCAAGCUAGGAAGGCACAAUGACAAGGCAGCAAAGGGCCAUUUGGUGAUUAGUUCACCAAACUUGUUGCAACUGUUUGUACUGCAGAGUUAAAACAUACCAGUAUUCAACCCACAUCUCCUCUCCUGAAAUAAACUGUCCAACAUUAGCUGGCCAGAACAAGCACAGAUAUUCUUCAUACUCAAUUAAUAUGCAUACAUGACAAAAGGAGGUCUGGAUGAAAAAAUAGUGUUAUUAAUAAUGGUUAUUUUAAAGGAUAUAAUUUCAGUGUUUCUAAUUCUGUCAUUGGUUAUAACAAAAGGAUUAGUGAAUAAAUACAAAAGACUGUUUUGCCUGGAAUUUAAUCCAAUCUGUCUAUUAAACUUUGCUUUUAUUCAAGUGCAAAAUCCUAAAACACAUAAUAACUGCAGUGACAGCCAAUGUGGAUCCGUAGACAUAAAAUUGGUCUUGGGACGUAAAUCUUACAAGCUAGUAUCGUUUUACGGGGUUUAGAAAACCAUUUAGCUGGGUUUCAAAACCAGCAGUGUGAGUAAUGGGAUUCUCAUCAAAUUACAGCAUGUACUUCAGUACUGUUUGUAGACUGACUUAUUCUUGUUGCCUUAAGUAGCCAUUAGCAAAAUGCCAGGGACUCAGUUUCUUACUCCUUUCAUACUCCUCUUUCUUGCCUGUCUUUUCAUGAGGAAAAAUUUUCUAGCGCAGUCCAAGCUGUGCUUUAAACCGAACACAUCCACACACACUGUCCUAUUGUCUACAUUCAGUGGAGCGCCCUGAAUAAAUCACGAACAGAAGCAUCUAUGACCGACAGUUGCUCUGUGUCCUUCUAGCCUCUCAGGAGUUUUCAGCUCACGAGGGCAGAGGAGAUGAAGAGAGGCCGAUCGAUGUGAGGGUGAGGUUGCCUUGCUUUCCCUAAAAUAGACAUGUUCCUUUCUUGGUUGCUUUUUCAAUUAACUUUACAUGUGAAAAAAAUAACAAUGUGCAUUAUAGAUAUUAAAUACUGUUUUCUGGGGUGGUGGAAGAAGAGAUUCUUAGCAACUGAUAUGUAAUCCAAAAUGACAUUUACAUAUGAUGACCUCAGGUUAUAGACUGUAUCCCUGGGGUCCUUGUUCUUGGAAGCAAUGUCUUCUUGGAUUAAGCAUUUUGCACUUGCCAACCUAAACAGACCUAAGAGAUACACCUUCUGGGAAAAGCUCAUGUCUUUUCCAGUGUGCAUUGUACCCUUGUUUUGGGGGCCUUGGAGUUGACUACAGUUUCUGAUCCAGUUUUUAAUGCGCUUUGAGAGAAACAGAGCCAUGUGCAAACAAUCCACAGCUCAAUAUGCCCCUCAUACAGCUUUGUUCCUGUAUUGCAGGUCGUGCAGGCGGCCCCUCUGAGGUGUGACUCCAAUAAGUACUCUGGAAUUACUUGCUGAGAAAGAAAAGUCUGGAUUCCAAGAAAGGUGUGACAUCCUUGCUGGCUUCAAUGUGAAGAGCCACCCUGAUUCUGGGAUUCUGAUAGGAAUAAGGGUAGUGGACUUUUUUUUUUAAGUUCUCCAGGCAAACAUUAUGACCAAAUGUCUCCAUCUGAUGAAGCAGCUGCACUCCUAUGGGGGCACUGGGCUGUGUGCUUGCCUGGUGUCUUAUGAGUCUGCAUCGUGUGAUAUGAUUGUGUGUGUUUUAGUAUAGGGGAGGCUGUGUGUUUUCUCAGGAGAGAUUUUCCAUUUACACAGCACAAUUGCCAGUCUCUACUUCUAAAAAGUAAAAUCCACCCCUCUUCUACUCUCUCUAUACAUGACUCAUUCACCCAUGCCAGAGCCACCUUUUAUUACCCUCACUGCUCAGGUGGAUAAUCUGAAGGGCCAAUGGGAGUGGCCCCAGCUUUUGAGCUCCUGAAUGAAAAAGUCAAAACAUGAGCUCAGGUGUGUGGCCCAAUGCUGACAUGCACUUAUGCCUCAGUCACAAGGGUGUUCAUCACCAUGCAGGGAGUCCAGCAUUCAUGUACAAGCCCUAAAGCACUGAGCCUGAGAGAUCCCAGACUCUGCCCAUCACCAUAAAGUGACCUCCAUGGUCACAUAACCCAGAGCAGUUAUAGGCACAUCUUCCUACAGACCAGCAUAGUCAUCAGUGUCAAAAGCACAAAGAUCCCCGGAUGUUUUGGGUCAGCUCACAGGUUCUAAGACAUGGGGGACCAUAUAGAACAGUUCUGAAGUUAUUUUGCUCAACAGCUGGCCAAAGCUUAUAAGGAUCAGUGAUAUAUUUCAGUAGAUUUAGUAAUGUUCACAAGCCCUAAAAUGCUCAAAUCCUGCCAGCUAAAAAUGGUGAAGAGAGACAGAUAAGAACACUGCAGCACUCUGUGUGGUUUCCGUUGCCUCGUGGCAACUCUGUUAUACAUCUGGAUUAAGGACCCUCAGCCUCAACCUAGCCUUUCCUCCAUGAGGAACUGUCUCACUGUUGACUGACUAGUGUAGCCUGCCUGGCCAUUAGCCUACGUGAAAUAAAGUUUUGCUUUAAAACAAGUGUAAAUCUCAUACAGCAGAUAAGUGCAGUAGCAGCAUCAUCUUGCAAGUUGUGAAGAAGACAGCGGCGAUGUAGCUGGACUUGAAGCCAGACAGGAGGAAUUAGGGAACUCUGUCACUGAAUUACAGUAUGCAGAGUUGAAGACCAUUUGUAGACAAUUUCAUGUUACCUUUAGCUAGUAAGCAAAGGUCUCUAUUUCUCAUUUCUUUCCUGUUCAUCUUCAUUGUUGUCCUUCUUCCAAAAGGGCAAACAGCCCAAGCAGAAGGCAAUUUUAGUAUUAAUCUAACUAAGGUUUUGUGUAGUUUACUAUCAUCCAGGUAAUCAAAUAUAACUCUGCCUGCCUGCGUGCCUGCCUGUCCCCAACACCUGCUCUGUGUUUUCAUGUAAUAAAUAUUUUGGUGUUCUACUUACCAUGUGCUAGAUUUUCUGGAAACCACAAAGAAAAUGAGGUAGAGUCUUUAUAUUGACAGCUGAUGUUAGAUUUAACAUAACUGACAAAAAAUAAAAAUUGCAACUUUUAUAAAAAUACCUUUUAUAUGUCUGAAUACAUACUGAAUGUAAGGUAGUUAACAAAAAUAAUUACACCUGCACUCAUGGGCAGUUUCUCAUGAACUUGUCAAUUUCUAUUUUUUCUACUUCCUCAUUUCAGUAGAUGAUGCAUAUCUGAACCUGGAAACCGCUUCCCACUGUAGAGCGUGUUCUGAGUCAUGUCCCUUAGCUUCACCAGAGCAGGUCCAGCAGGCUCUGAGCUUGGCCUCUUUGCCUGAAGCGAGACCUCUAGGUAAUGUCUCCAGGGAGGGUGGCACAAAGGAUCCUGGAUCUCCUGAUCACAGCAGCCCAAGAGUGCUGUGUGUGCACCAUGGCUCAAGAAGAAGACUUAAAAAGGGGAAAGUAUGACUAUUUCUAAUCCGUAGUAUUUCAGUAUUUUUAAUGUUUCGGUUAUCUGUAUGAAAAAGAAUUUGUGAUAAAUAGAAUAAUUUGCCUAAAAUUGAAUCUAUUUCACCAAUAAAAUUGGCUUUUAAUCAAGUGAUAAAUCCUGUAAAAUAGAUAAUAGAUGCAGUACCAACAUAAUUUGAUUCUAGUACACUGAAAUAAUCUUGAAUAUGUUAAGAAAGCGUUGUUUGUGUAGAAGAGUUUCAAAUCAUGUGAGUGAUAAAGGGACCCUUCUGUUGAACCUUGGUGUGCAUUUUAGGUCCAUUUUGGGUUUACUCCUUUGUGCUGCUUCAUGAUGCCUUAGGACAAGGACAAGGCCUAGGCCUCCUUGUCUCAGUUCCCUCCUGCUCUCUUUUGCCCUCCUCCUUCCGCCUGGAGCAUGGCCCAGCAUCAGGUUGGCGCAUGCUGUGAUCAGCCACUUCCAUGCACCACACCAAGCAAAGCUCUCUGGGUGACACAGUUGCCACCACCAGGGCACUGACCUUUACUCUGUAUUCUCCUAGCUCCUCCUGAGGGUGCUGUAGGAGACAUCUGCAAAAAAGAAGAUGCUGGCAGUAUGCCGUCAACCUCAGAGGGGAGUAUUUACCUUGAAAUAGCUCACUUCCUGAGGAACAAACUUGCUGGAUCUAGUGUACAGAAACCUGAUUCUGGGUUCCUUUGGGAAGGAGCAUUAUGGGCCUGUGUGGGCACUGGAGAGCAUAACUGAUGAGGAGGACUCUCCAGCUCCUGGACUACCUCAUAUCACCAGCACCCUCUACCCAAGGUCCUGGAGCCAACACUGGAGUAAAAGAGCAGAAGAGAGCUCCUUAGAGGUGGAGGUGCAGAAGAACACAGGUGUUUGUGUCAGACGGCCAGGAUCCAAUCCUGCUUCUGCUGUAGUGCAAUAUAGAAGCCAAGAACACUUGACUCGUGUCAAGUCUACCUGUUUAUCCACCUGUCCAUCUGUCUGUCCAUCCACCCAUCAUCCAACCAUGGAACUCAGUGCCAACUCCUGAGGGUAUUGUACAGCACUGCCUAUGAGGCAUGAAGGAGUCUCACAUGAAGGCCGCCUGCAUCCUGGAGGAGUUCCUGAAGCUGCUGCCCAUGUUUCUCACAGGGAGGCCAGGGAAGAUCUGUACACAGGCAAGCCGUGAACUGAGGACUUCCCUUUCAGGCCUUCCCAACGGGGCAGGAUGGAAGUAAGAGCCCCACUAGUCUCCCCUUAACCUGGAGUCCCCCGCUAUCCACAGCUCGCUCAUUGGAGGGGACACACUGGGCACCCAGGCCUCAAGGUAAUUGGGGAGGGACAGUCCCAAGGCCUCACCUGGCCCUGAUCCUGGCUCUGCACAAAGGCAAUAAGAGAGGGAUGGUGCUAAGAAGGAUGACGUGCUGCUGUGGAAGAUGCUGGACUGAAAUUCAGGAGGCCAAAGAUGCAGUGGUCUCAUAGGAAGAUACCCUCUGAGGUCAAAUCAUUGGGCUUGUGGCCAUGAGACCACAGACUUUGCCUGGCUUCCAGUGACUGUCCAAGAUGACCGUGGAGUGCACCGCCUGUACUUGGACAUCACCGUCUUUUCGGAUCCAUACCCAUCAUCCUUGGAAUUUCCCCUGUAUCCAAACCUGUUCCUGAUACAGGUGUGAGUAAUGAAUAACCCUAAGGAAUAUCUUGGAUGUCUUCACGGGGCUUAUGACUUAUUCUGAGGUUUGCAAAAUAAAGGCCCCCAGCUGAGCAAAGAUAGGGCUACAGCGCCGAGGGAACAGCGGCCGGACCCACCGGAGAGGCCUCCUGGAGCAUGCCGGGACCCCCUCCACCCCCUGGCUUUGGCUGCAUCCAUGGCUAGUUUGCCUGAACUAUAUCUGAGCCACUGAGAGUAUUUAUUAAGCAGAGAAUAAUUUUGAGUUUCACUUUUAUAACUUUUGUUUGAAAAGUUGUUUGUGGAUAAUUUAAUGAAAUGACUGUAAACCAGAAUUCCUCUUUUCAUUAUUUCUUUGUGUCGAUAUAAAAAGAGUUGAUGAUUUUAAAAGCCAGUGAGAUGCCCCUGUCUGUGGAUGUCAGCGGGAGCAUGGGGUCUGAAGCCUUUCUCUGGUGGCUCUCCAGGAAGAUUGCCCGAGCUUGCACUCCCUUUUGGCGGGUUCCAGAGCCUUCCAUUUGAAAGGAGCGUCUCUCCCCACUCUGCCCCACCCAGCACCAGCUCUUCUGGAGCCCACUGACUUUCUAAACACUUUCUUCCUCCUUCACCUCAUUGAAUUCAAGACUUUAGAAAAUAGCCAAAAACUCUAGAGGUGGGAGUGGGUGUGAUCUGGAAAUCCCCGCUGUGAUCUUUUUAAGGGAAUCCACUGGAAAUUAUUAAUUUAUGUUUUAAAUAAAACCAUUCCUUAUUUAAUAGAAUAUUAAGCCACUCACUUUUUAACAGAACUUUGAGAUAUAAUUAAAAUGCCAUAAAUUUCACCCCCACACAGUGUACAGUUCCAAGGUUUCCAAUAUAGUCACAGAGGUCUCUGCAACAAUUACCACAAUUUUAGACAUGAAGACCAUUUGUUGGCAGCCCUACCUGUAUCUACAUGUAUAUAUAUAAUUUUAAUAUUGGAUUAGAUAUUAUAGUAUUUAAUAUUGUACUGUUACCUAUUUGUGUCUUUAUAUUGCUGUUUUUUAUUCAGAUGAAUAAUAAUUAUCUCCAUAUAGUCAUACGUUUAUAUAGGGUUAAAACAUAUCUUUUUACAAUUCAAUAAAUUAAAUUGGCCAGG